This 327-nucleotide ribosomal RNA is filed under the name uncultured eukaryote. RNAcentral describes it as "partial 18S ribosomal RNA". It matches the Rfam family "Eukaryotic small subunit ribosomal RNA", at positions 1470 to 1796 of the family's 1831-position model. The record is from RNAcentral.
CCCUUAGAUGUUCUGGGCCGCACGCGCGCUACACUGACGAAUGCAACGAGCUUAUAACCUUGGCCGAAAGGUCUGGGUAAUCUCCAAAUUUCGUCGUGAUGGGGAUAGAUUAUUGCGAUUAUUAAUCUUCAACGAGGAAUGCCUAGUAAGCGCAAGUCAUCAGCUUGCGUUGAUUACGUCCCUGCCCUUUGUACACACCGCCCGUCGCUCCUACCGAUUGAAUGGUCCGGUGAAGCGCUCGGACCGCGGCCUCUUGACGGUUCGCUGUCGAUUGGCUGUGGGAAGUUCGUUAAACCUUAUCAUUUAGAGGAAGGAGAAGUCGUANCA